AAAGAAACAAAAAAAAAAGCUUCUAACUUUUUUA
Molecule: transfer RNA, 34 nt
Filed under: Platerodrilus sp. UPOL VP0014
Lineage: Eukaryota; Metazoa; Arthropoda; Insecta; Coleoptera; Lycidae
Description: partial tRNA-Ser
Source: RNAcentral